GCGCCCCUCUCCGUGUGGAGCCCACCUGCAUGUACUGGCUCCCCAACAGGCACGGCAGGAGCGGCGGCCCAGCACUCGGCACUGGCCACUUGCAGACAAGAAGACAAGAAAAUGAUUUGAGGACAGCUUCAAUCGCGGUGUGAAGAAGAAAGCAGCAAAACGACCACUGAAAACAACGCCGGUGGCAAAACAUCCAAAGAAAGGGUCCCAAGCGGUACAUCGUCAUAGCUGGAAACAGUCAGAGCCACCAGCCAAUGAUCUUUUCAAUGCUGCGAAAGCUGCCGAAAGUGACAUGCAGUGUGGCCAUGAGCUCUGCCGGAAGUAACUUGUUGGUGUUAUCUCCUGAGUUAAAAUGUGAAGGGAUUUUUUUUUUUCAGAUGACUGAGAGUCUUCAGUUACUAGAUCCAGACACGGGGACUGCAGAGAAAGGCUGUGUGCAUCCGCUGUCUACUCCACUGUCUCCUCUGCAGAGGCGGAUUUCCCUGACUGAAGACCAUGUUGCAGGCCCACAGCUGCCUACAGGCCCUCUGGGCAACCGUCCCAAAAUAUGGCAAAGAAACCUAUUCUGAGAGAUAGGGUCUCACCAUGUUGCCCAGGCUGGUCUUGAACUCCUGGACUCAUCCUAAAGUGCUGGCCUCUCAUUCCCUGUCUGUGCACACCUCACGGCAAGGGCCAGCCCGUUUCCUCCCGGUCACCUCCAAAUCUUGCUGCUUUUAAUUCAACUCAGAGAAGGGAUUCAGCCACUUUGUGCUCACCACCUCUGGGGAAGGUGUGAGAGGAGAGAAGGAAGUGGCUGUUUGGCUGCUGACAAUAUGAAGACUUCCUGUGAUGAGAACAGAGGCACAGGUGCCGGCCCUGCAGCCCCCAGAACCCGGACUGGAGGGGGCCAUGGGGCGCCGGACCCUGGCCCUGCCCUGGGUGCUGCUGACCCUGCGUGUCACUGCGGGGACCCCGGAGGUGUGGGUGCAAGUUCGGAUGGAGGCCACCGAGCUCUCGUCCUUCACCAUCCGUUGUGGGUUCCUGGGGUCUGGCUCCAUCUCCCUGGUGACUGUGAGCUGGAGGGGCCCCGAUGGUGCUGGGGGGACCACGCUGGCUGUGUUGCACCCGGAACUUGGCAUCCGGCAAUGGGCCCCUGCUCGCCAGGCCCGCUGGGAAACCCAGAGCAGCGUCUCUCUUGCUCUGGAAGUCUCUGGGGCCAGCAGCCCCUGCGCCAACACCACCUUCUGCUGCAAGUUUGCGUCCUUCCCUGAGGGCUCCUGGGAGGGCUGUGGGAGCCUCCCGCCCAGCUCAGACCCAGGGCUCUCUGUCCCGCCGACUCCUGCCCCCAUUCUGCGGGCAGACCUGGCCGGGAUCUUGGGGGUCUCAGGAGUCCUUCUCUUUGACUGUGGCUACCUCCUUCAUCUGCUGUGCCGACAGAAGCACCGCCCUGCCCCUAGGCUCCAGCCAUUCCACACCAGCUCCCAGGCACUGAGAGCACGAGCAUGGGCACCCAGCCAGGACUCCCAGGCUGCUCUCCACGUCCCUUAUGCCACUGUCAACACCAGCUGCUGCCCAGCUACUUUGGACACAGCUCACCCCCGACGGGGGGCUGUCCUGGCAUAGGGCGCUGGCUAGGACUCCAGUACCAUGAAGGGAGGCAGUGAGAGCAGACAUCUGUGCCUCAUUCCUGAUCUCAAGGGGAAAGCAAGAACAGGGGAGGCUUCCUCAGGAUCUCGAACCUGUGGAAGGAGGACCAGUCUGUGUACUUCUGCCAAGUCCAGCUGGACAUACAGAUCAGGGAGGCUGUCGUGGCAGUCCAUCAAGGGGACCCACCUCACCAUCACCCAGGCCCUCAGGCAGCCCCUCCACAGGGCCCCUCUCCUGCCUGGACAGCUCUGCUGGUCUCCCCGUCCCCUGGAGAAGAACAAGGCCAUGGGUCAGCCCCUGCUGCUGCCCCUGCUGCUCCUGCUGCUGCCGCCAGCAUUUCUGCAGCCUGGAUUAUGUGAACUGGCUCUUUCUGAACUGGACAGAGGGUCAGAAGAGCGGCUUCCUCAGGAUCUCAAACCUGCGGAAGGAGGACCAGUCUGUGUAUUUCUGCCGAGUCGAGCUGGACACCCGGAGAUCAGGGAGGCAGCAGUUGCAGUCCAUCAAGGGGACCAAACUCACCAUCACCCAGGCUGUCACAACCACCACCACCUGGAGGCCCAGCAGCACAACCACCACAGCCGGCCUCAGGGUCACAGAAAGCAAAGGGCACUCAGAAUCAUGGCACCUAAGUCUGGACACUGCUAUCAGGGUUGCAUUGGCUGUCGCUGUGCUCAAAACUGUCAUUUUGGGACUGCUGUGCCUCCUUCUCCUGUGGUGGAGGAGAAGGAAAGAUAGCAGGGCGCCAAGCAGUGACUUCUGACCAACAGAGUGUGGGGAGAAGGGAUGUGUAUUAGCCCCGGAGGACGUGAUGUGAGACCCGCUUGUGAGUCCUCCACACUGGUUCCCCAUUGGCAAGAUACAUGGAGAGCACCCUGAGGACCUUUAAAAAGGCAAAGCCGCAAGGCAGAAGGAGGCUGGGUCCCUGAAUCACCGACUGGAGGAGAGUUACCUACAAGAGCCUUCAUCCAGGAGCAUCCACACUGCAAUGAUAUAGGAAUGAGGUCUGAACUCCACUGAAUUAAACCACUGGCAUUUGGGGGCUAUUUA
Molecule: small RNA, 2673 nt
Filed under: Pan troglodytes (chimpanzee)
Lineage: Eukaryota; Metazoa; Chordata; Mammalia; Primates; Hominidae
Description: processed transcript
Source: RNAcentral